RNAcentral lists this ribosomal RNA (253 nucleotides) under uncultured bacterium. Its description in RNAcentral is "partial 16S ribosomal RNA". It matches the Rfam family "Bacterial small subunit ribosomal RNA", at positions 524 to 776 of the family's 1533-position model. The record is from RNAcentral.
UACGAAGGUGGCUAGCGUUGCUCGGAAUCACUGGGCGUAAAGGGUGCGUAGGCGGGUCUUUAAGUCAGGGGUGAAAUCCUGGAGCUCAACUCCAGAACUGCCUUUGAUACUGAAGAGCUUGAGUUCGGGAGAGGUGAGUGGAACUGCGAGUGUAGAGGUGAAAUUCGUAGAUAUUCGCAAGAACACCAGUGGCGAAGGCGGCUCACUGGCCCGAUACUGACGCUGAGGCACGAAAGCGUGGGGAGCAAACAGG